AACGCGAGGAAGCAACUGCGGCUUUUCAACGCCAUUUUAGGCGUUUCCAGCGUCCUUUGGCGGCAAGGUUGGUCUUAAAAUGACCGGUGAGUUGAGGGCUUCCUUUUAGGGGUAGCAGCGUCAGCGUUAGUGGCCGGAGGAAAGAGUUUCGGUGAAGUGACGACAACAGAAUUUUUGAGCUUUUUUGGCCGUCUUCGGCGAGCUUUGGCUGAUCAAAGGGCAUAUCUGGACCCCUCUCAGCUCAAGCUUUCCAAUGGCAGCAGUUUCGCGUCGAUUGGACUCCGUUUGAAAAUCAACGACCGAGAUCGUCCGUAAAUUUCUCCGAAUGAUUGGGGGGUCAGAUCGGAAGAUCAGUGUUGGAAUCAUCAUUAGUGCAUUGUUUCAAGUCCGUAGGCGCGUUCGGAUCGUCGAUCGGACUCCAGUAGCUGGAGGCGAGUCGACCGAGUUAUCAAGCGUCUCGGUAAUUCUCUAGCCUGAUGAUUUUAUAGUUUGUUGAGAAAAAUUAUAUAAUUAACUAUUGCGUUUAGCAUUAGAAAAAUUAUGUGAGGAUUGUUGGCCGAAAUAAAUAGUGUGUUGGACCGUUUGUCAAUAUGUGAUUUGUGAUGCAUUGCAGAGUUGGAAAGAUUAAUGCAGUUUGGGUGUCCCAACACCUGUUAAUUAAUCGCAGUAUAUUUGAAGUGUUUUUGGCAGGUUCUGGACCCGUUUUACGGGGGCUAAAUGUCCAUAUUUAGGGGAGAUUCUACCAAAUUUUCGAUAGAAUUCUUCCGAGUCGAAAUUCUUAGACAUGGAGUUCUAGGAGUCUAGGCCUAGGGUUAUUUAUCAAAUGUUAUACUUUUCUGAUUGAAUUGUUCCCGUGAUUAGAUAAAUCCGUCAGUUCGGCUCGCUCCACCCGAGGCAUCGGAGUAGGGCUAGGAGAUCGUCAGAACUGUGUUGAUAGUUUUUUUGCAAAUCUUUUCCUCUAGCAGCUCGAUUUCUUCAUCUUCGGGUUAAACGUAAUUGACUUUAUUGGUGAAUGAUCCUUGGCAAAGGCAUCAAUAUUGAAUACGGUUUUGGCACAAGUUAGUUAUGUUCGUAUCAUGACCUGUUCAGUUUCGGUGGAUGCAUCCAUUUUAGAGGACAGUGGCUAGAUGACACCAUAAUGGCACCUGAAGUGAUGGAUAGGGUCAAGGCUCAUGUGGGGGACCUCCAUCCCACCAAUAGUUCGUUUGCAAUGCCUAGUGAUUCCAUCGCUCCAUCCAUAUCCACAUCUAUAACUCCAACCCUAUCAAUAAUACCACCCCCAUUGUCAACUCCACCCAUAUCCACAGCUCUAUUCUUGAGUGCACCUCCAUUCACUAGAGUGCCAUCGCCGUCCAUUGGCACCUACUUGACAAUUGGCGAUCCAAGCCUGACUUCACACUCAUCUCCAUCACAACUGACUACACCUAUGAUGCCUGGUGCUGUGUUAAGCUCGGGUAGUUGUGGAAGUGGUUGUAAGAGGAUAUGAUUAGAAGAUAGAAAGUAAGUAAUGUUUUAUACUUUAUGUUAUGUUCAUUAUGUUUUUUUUAGUUUAACUAUUGUUAUAUGUGUUUAAUUUAAAUUUGUUGAGUCACACCACAUGGCUUCCCGUAUACCUGUAUAUUUAAGGAAAUUAUCUAUUAUGAGGGAUAUACAUGGAAGGCAAUGCCACUAGCAGCUCAAGAGGGAUACUAGUAUGAGUUUCAGGUAAUUUGCCUCAACUAUUUGAGGUUUGGAUAGUGCAUAUUACAUGGGAGACUCUGCCAAUUUUUUCAAAAAAUUGGUAUAUUUAAUUAUUUUAUGUAUAUAUAUUUGCCGAAAUGUUUUGAGUGGGAGGACUCUAUUAAUGAGAUUGUGAGGUUGGCAUAGGAGAAGCUAGCUGCCAGGAGAUAUAAUGAUAUGCUACACAGGUGGAGGGCAAGGUUGACCCCCAUGUGUUUCAUAGGAGGUUUGGGAUAAAUGACAGGCAAAGUAGUCUAAGAGUUCCUUCCGAGCAAUUGCAAUGCGUCAAUCGAGGAAUCAUCUGAGUGAAAUAGGAGGCCCUAGAUCGAGGCCGACGCGACACACUUAUGGCUCCAUCUUUAUUCAAGAGCACGUUAAAAGGAUCGUAAGGAGAUGUUGAAGGUGCAUCCCCGGUCAAGGUCCGGAUGUUCCAUGAGACUAAGAUAACUAAAGGCAAUGAUGGAUCGAGGCUAUAUGUGGAUGACCGCGCCAUGAAAGUUGGGGAAAGCCUUGAAGAGCGUAUAAUAGAGGCAUCUCACGGUGAAGUCGGUAAUCCGGUGACACUGUCCUAAGAGGAGGAGAGAAUUUUCUUAGAGACAGUUUAGGCUUUAUUACAUAGCAAAUAUGUAUAUGGGACAUGCAAGAAUAAGACAUCUUCAUAUCACUCUGAUGUCUUAACCUCCAUAGUUGCCACUAGUGGGAUUGAUGAUCACCGCUUUCGACAGCUUGAAGACACGAGCUUGUAGUUGGCAAAUCAGUUGCAGGAGAGACGAGUGGAUUCAGCUGUUGGAGACCACUAUGCGCUAGUUGGUGUAGAGGUUGACCCUAAGCACUCAACAAUAUGUCCUGACCCCCCGACGACAACUUAUAGCAAGAUCCACCUUUUGGUAAGUCGUAAAUUUAUUAGUACUUCUUCUUCUAUUUUUAGUAUUCUCUCAGUGUACAUCAACUUUAUGACCUUAGAUUUGGUUAUUUAUUGUU
Ricinus communis (castor bean) is the source of this 2700-nucleotide long non-coding RNA. RefSeq lists it as uncharacterized. Lineage: Eukaryota; Viridiplantae; Streptophyta; Magnoliopsida; Malpighiales; Euphorbiaceae. The transcript has 7 exons. The record is from RefSeq and is a predicted model, not a curated record.